UACGAAGGGGGCUAGCGUUGCUCGGAAUCACUGGGCGUAAAGGGCGCGUAGGCGGCCGAUCAAGUCGGAGGUGAAAGCCCAGGGCUCAACCCUGGAAUUGCCUUCGAUACUGUCUGGCUUGAGACCGGAAGAGGUAAGUGGAACUGCGAGUGUAGAGGUGAAAUUCGUAGAUAUUCGCAAGAACACCAGUGGCGAAGGCGGCUUACUGGUCCGGUUCUGACGCUGAGGCGCGAAAGCGUGGGGAGCAAACAGG
RNAcentral lists this ribosomal RNA (253 nucleotides) under uncultured bacterium. RNAcentral describes it as "partial 16S ribosomal RNA". It matches the Rfam family "Bacterial small subunit ribosomal RNA", at positions 524 to 776 of the family's 1533-position model. The record is from RNAcentral.